Molecule: long non-coding RNA, 1375 nt
Organism: Brassica napus (rape)
Lineage: Eukaryota; Viridiplantae; Streptophyta; Magnoliopsida; Brassicales; Brassicaceae
Exons: 3
Source: RefSeq, a predicted model, not a curated record
UACACCAAUACUAAUACUCUAAUAGAGUUUUGUUUCAUCGGAUUUUGACCAAUACCCUACCAUAGAUACAACAAUCUUGCAUGAUGAUAUAGUUUUGGCAUCUCAUUCUCGUGUAACUAUUUCAAACGUUGUUUCUCUCUUAGACGGGGAGCAAAAGCAGAUCGAUGACGAGGACUAGUAGACGUUAACUUUCCGUUGCAACAUGUAAGGAACUGCUACUCGUACUUGUACUUGUGUCCUAAGCAAAAGCUUCUUUUUUAUUAUGGUUUUUCUAAAAAAAAGUUUAUGAUUACUGAUAAGCCUCUAGUACUGGUGACUGUUUUCUGCAAGUGUAACACCUUACUGAGAGUAUAUUUUUAACUAGUUUUUACUUCAAAGAUAGAUUGAUUAAUCAGAUAGAGAAUCUGUGUGUUAUAUGUUACCCUCGCAGUUUUGAAAGUUAAAAACACUAACAUAAAUUUUUUCAGAAAAAAAUUAACACCAACAUAAAUGGAUCAUAAUUUCGAUUUCUGGACCGCGUUGAUGUCAUAUUAUAUGAAACAAAUCAUCUGGCCAAAACGAAUAAGACAAGAAAGAUUGGUUGACAAAUAUAUUUGAAAAAGUCAGACUCAAUGGGGGUGCAAUCCUAUUUGUUCAAGACCAAGAGACCAAAUACUCCAUAAUUAGACAACUUUCUGUAUAACGACAGGUUUGUUUUUGUCACUAUAUAAAAAUUGCACAUCAAAAGGUAUAAAACGUUAUCUGUUUAAUGUAGCAGUUUAAGAUACAAGAUGGAGAGACAUCAUACAAUACAUACAAUACAAUAACUAAAAGGAAGAUACUAGCAUCAGUGAGGCCAUCCACGUCUGCAAAUUAAAUCAACCUAUCACAAGUUGCCAUGUCAGCAUCAUUGUCAAGUUACCUUUCGUCUCCGUUAUCUUCCUUCAGCCGACAAAACCUAAAGAGACCGGUUAAAAAUCCGAUUUAUCUUCCACGUCCCACUUUGCUUCAUUAAUGUGAAUAACCUCACAAUUUCGCUACCGUAUUCACUUUCCUCCCUCUCUCCCUUUUCUAUGUAAUCGAUUGGAUGAUCGCCUUUAAACCAUUGGAGCAACGUACGUUUCAGUAUGCCCCUGAUUUUUCAGAAAUACCUUUCUUCUCUUCUGAGCAGCUUAUCUGACGCCAAAGAUGUGGGCGAAGCUCUCAAACGAUUUACAUCUAUUCGGAUCCAACGGCUGCGGAAACGUUUGCAUCCAAAAAAGUUCUUCCUGUAAGAAAAGUCAGCAGCUGGGGCUGAGACAGUAGGAUCUCUUUCGUGUUGAUCAUACAAGUUUGCGAUAUAGAGCUCGAAAACAAAGCCAAGGAAGUGGCAGAGCUGAAAACAGAGAGGCUGACC